Molecule: small nuclear RNA, 140 nt
Filed under: Prolemur simus (greater bamboo lemur)
Lineage: Eukaryota; Metazoa; Chordata; Mammalia; Primates; Lemuridae
Description: U4 spliceosomal RNA (ENSPSMG00000000886.1)
Rfam family: U4 spliceosomal RNA
About the family: U4 small nuclear RNA (U4 snRNA) is a component of the major U2-dependent spliceosome. The structure of U4 snRNA from yeast and human has been reported.
Source: Rfam by way of RNAcentral
AGCUUUGCGCAGUGGCAGUAUCAAAGCCAAUGAGGUUUAUCUGAAGCAUGAUUAUUGCUAAUUGAAAACUUUUCCCAAUACCCCUCCAUGACAACUUGCAAGAUAGUUGGCAUUGGCAAUUUUUGACGGUCCCUAUGGGA